AGAGUUUGAUCCUGGCUCAGGACGAACGCUGGCGGCACGCUUAACACAUGCAAGUCGAACGAGGUCCAUGGAGCUUGCUCCAGAAGACCUAGUGGCGAACGGGUGCGUAACACGUGAGAAACCUGCCCUGAACUUGGGAAUAACAGUUGGAAACGACUGCUAAUACCGAAUACCUUCACGACGUCGCAUGGCGAUGUGAAGAAAGCUUUAUGCGGUUUAGGAGGGUCUCGCGACCUAUCAGCUUGUUGGUGAGGUAACGGCUCACCAAGGCAUCGACGGGUAGCUGGUCUGAGAGGAUGAUCAGCCACACUGGGACUGAGACACGGCCCAGACUCCUACGGGAGGCAGCAGUGGGGAAUAUUGCACAAUGGGCGCAAGCCUGAUGCAGCGAUGCCGCGUGCGGGAUGAAGGCCCUAGGGUUGUAAACCGCUUUCAGCAGGGAAGAAAAUGACGGUACCUGCAGAAGAAGGUGCGGCCAACUACGUGCCAGCAGCCGCGGUGACACGUAGGCACCAAGCGUUGUCCGGAUUUAUUGGGCGUAAAGAGCUCGUAGGCGGUUCAGUUAGUCGGGUGUGAAAACUCUGGGCUCAACCCAGAGACGCCACCCGAUACUGCUGUGACUAGAGUACGGUAGGGGAGUGGGGAAUUCCUGGUGUAGCGGUGAAAUGCGCAGAUAUCAGGAGGAACACCAGUGGCGAAGGCGCCACUCUGGGCCGUAACUGACGCUGAGGAGCGAAAGCAUGGGUAGCAAACAGGAUUAGAUACCCUGGUAGUCCAUGCCGUAAACGUUGGGCACUAGGUGUGGGUCUCAACCAACGAGAUCCGCGCCGUCGCUAACGCAUUAAGUGCCCCGCCUGGGGAGUACGGUCGCAAGACUAAAACUCAAAGGAAUUGACGG
Molecule: ribosomal RNA, 898 nt
Filed under: uncultured bacterium
Lineage: Bacteria
Description: bacterial SSU rRNA
Rfam family: Bacterial small subunit ribosomal RNA
Source: RNAcentral